This 357-nucleotide transfer-messenger RNA is filed under the name Lachnospiraceae. Its description in RNAcentral is "SIG300 sp015057505 Standard tmRNA". It matches the Rfam family "transfer-messenger RNA". From Rfam's summary of the family: Bacterial tmRNA, also known as 10Sa RNA or SsrA, is named for its dual tRNA and mRNA-like properties. Its role is to liberate the mRNA from a stalled ribosome. Lineage: Bacteria; Bacillati; Bacillota; Clostridia; Lachnospirales. RNAcentral also lists the same sequence under 1 other name. The record is from RNAcentral.
GGGGUUGUACUGGUUUCGACGGGGAUUUUGAAAUUGAAGAAGCUAUCCGCGGGCCGGGACCGCGCAGUAAUCCGGAACUUAAAUAUAAACGCAAACGAUAAUUUAGCGUACGCUGCCUAAUUUGGCGGCUGUCGGCCUUAAACCGCUCACUGUUUAAGAAUCCGGCAUCAACUUUGUGAGGCACUUCGUUCCCAAAGCUUUGAGGGUUCGGAAGAUUUUAUGAAGCUACUGAAGCAGAAAGCCUGUCAUUAGGCGUUCUAUGGAGGGAAUGGCGCAAGCAUAAAAUAAUGACUGUGAUAGGAGAUGCUUCAAUGGAUGGGUUUUCGGACAGGGGUUCGAUUCCCCUCAGCUCCAUAU